CUACAGCGGUCUGCGAAGAGUGUGGGAAGCAUGCGUUUCAGCGUUGGGCAAGCGAACUGCGGCAUGGUCGUGUUUAAUUUGGCUAUGAAAUUUUAUUCAUGUAUAUGUUGUAGUUAUUAUUAUUAUUGCAGCUGACUGCUAGUGCAUAUAUGAUGGGGAGGUGUAAAGUUAGAGCACUGAAAGCAAUGACUGCGCGUUUGAGCAGCGGGACUUGACUAGGCCGCAUGAGCAAAGAAAACGAAGGAUGGUGAUUGCUCUAGUGGAUGUUUUCUGCACUUCACCACGUGGACAGGGUGGUGUCAUACAGUCUCGUGGAGGACGGCCAGCAGCGAGGGGCCUUCAGUGUGAAUGGAUGUUCAGGAUAAUGACACAGGACCAGCCUGUGAUGCUCAAGAAGUGGACCCAGGCUUGAAGUUGCAGUGUCUCAGAUAAACAUGUUUUUUUUUGGGGGG
This is a long non-coding RNA of Pundamilia nyererei, 452 nucleotides long. RefSeq lists it as uncharacterized. The transcript is spliced from 4 exons. The record is from RefSeq and is a predicted model, not a curated record. NCBI's taxonomy places the organism in Eukaryota, Metazoa, Chordata, Actinopteri, Cichliformes, Cichlidae.